Molecule: ribosomal RNA, 1346 nt
Filed under: uncultured bacterium
Lineage: Bacteria
Description: partial 16S ribosomal RNA
Rfam family: Bacterial small subunit ribosomal RNA
Source: RNAcentral
GACGAACGCUGGCGGCGUGCUUAACACAUGCAAGUCGAACGGAAAGGCCCUGCUUUUGUGGGGUGCUCGAGUGGCGAACGGGUGAGUAACACGUGAGUAACCUGCCCUUGACUUUGGGAUAACUUCAGGAAACUGGGGCUAAUACCGGAUAGGAGCUCCUGCUGCAUGGUGGGGGUUGGAAAGUUUCGGCGGUUGGGGAUGGACUCGCGGCUUAUCAGCUUGUUGGUGGGGUAGUGGCUUACCAAGGCUUUGACGGGUAGCCGGCCUGAGAGGGUGACCGGCUACAUUGGGACUGAGAUACGGCCCAGACUCCUACGGGAGGCAGCAGUGGGGAAUAUUGCACAAUGGGCGGAAGCCUGAUGCAGCAACGCCGCGUGCGGGAUGACGGCCUUCGGGUUGUAAACCGCUUUCGCCUGUGACGAAGCGUGAGUGACGGUAAUGGGUAAAGAAGCACCGGCUAACUACGUGCCAGCAGCCGCGGUGAUACGUAGGGUGCGAGCGUUGUCCGGAUUUAUUGGGCGUAAAGGGCUCGUAGGUGGUUGAUCGCGUCGGAAGUGUAAUCUUGGGGCUUAACCCUGAGCGUGCUUUCGAUACGGGUUGACUUGAGGAAGGUAGGGGAGAAUGGAAUUCCUGGUGGAGCGGUGGAAUGCGCAGAUAUCAGGAGGAACACCAGUGGCGAAGGCGGUUCUCUGGGCCUUUCCUGACGCUGAGGAGCGAAAGCGUGGGGAGCGAACAGGCUUAGAUACCCUGGUAGUCCACGCUGUAAACGGUGGGUACUAGGUGUGGGGUCCAUUCCACGGGUUCCGUGCCGUAGCUAACGCUUUAAGUACCCCGCCUGGGGAGUACGGCCGCAAGGCUAAAACUCAAAGGAAUUGACGGGGCCCCGCACAAGCGGCGGAGCAUGCGGAUUAAUUCGAUGCAACGCGUAGAACCUUACCUGGGUUUGACAUGGAUCGGGAGUGCUCAGAGAUGGGUGUGCCUCUUUUGGGGUCGGUUCACAGGUGGUGCAUGGCUGUCGUCAGCUCGUGUCGUGAGAUGUUGGGUUAAGUCCCGCAACGAGCGCAACCCUUGUUCACUGUUGCCAGCACGUUAUGGUGGGGACUCAGUGGAGACCGCCGGGGUCAACUCGGAGGAAGGUGGGGAUGACGUCAAGUCAUCAUGCCCCUUAUGUCCAGGGCUUCACGCAUGCUACAAUGGCUGGUACAGAGAGUGGCGAGCCUGUGAGGGUGAGCGAAUCUCGGAAAGCCGGUCUCAGUUCGGAUUGGGGUCUGCAACUCGACCUCAUGAAGUCGGAGUCGCUAGUAAUCGCAGAUCAGCAACGCUGCGGUGAAUACGUUCCCGGGGCU